AGAGUUUGAUCCUGGCUCAGGAUGAACGCUGGCGGCGUGCCUAAUACAUGCAAGUCGAGCGAACGGACGAGAAGCUUGCUUCUCUGAUGUUAGCGGCGGACGGGUGAGUAACACGUGGAUAACCUACCUAUAAGACUGGGAUAACUUCGGGAAACCGGAGCUAAUACCGGAUAAUAUUUUGAACCGCAUGGUUCAAAAGUGAAAGACGGUCUUGCUGUCACUUAUAGAUGGAUCCGCGCUGCAUUAGCUAGUUGGUAAGGUAACGGCUUACCAAGGCAACGAUGCAUAGCCGACCUGAGAGGGUGAUCGGCCACACUGGAACUGAGACACGGUCCAGACUCCUACGGGAGGCAGCAGUAGGGAAUCUUCCGCAAUGGGCGAAAGCCUGACGGAGCAACGCCGCGUGAGUGAUGAAGGUCUUCGGAUCGUAAAACUCUGUUAUUAGGGAAGAACAUAUGUGUAAGUAACUGUGCACAUCUUGACGGUACCUAAUCAGAAAGCCACGGCUAACUACGUGCCAGCAGCCGCGGUAAUACGUAGGUGGCAAGCGUUAUCCGGAAUUAUUGGGCGUAAAGCGCGCGUAGGCGGUUUUUUAAGUCUGAUGUGAAAGCCCACGGCUCAACCGUGGAGGGUCAUUGGAAACUGGAAAACUUGAGUGCAGAAGAGGAAAGUGGAAUUCCAUGUGUAGCGGUGAAAUGCGCAGAGAUAUGGAGGAACACCAGUGGCGAAGGCGACUUUCUGGUCUGUAACUGACGCUGAUGUGCGAAAGCGUGGGGAUCAAACAGGAUUAGAUACCCUGGUAGUCCACGCCGUAAACGAUGAGUGCUAAGUGUUAGGGGGUUUCCGCCCCUUAGUGCUGCAGCUAACGCAUUAAGCACUCCGCCUGGGGAGUACGACCGCAAGGUUGAAACUCAAAGGAAUUGACGGGGACCCGCACAAGCGGUGGAGCAUGUGGUUUAAUUCGAAGCAACGCGAAGAACCUUACCAAAUCUUGACAUCCUUUGACAACUCUAGAGAUAGAGCUUUCCCCUUCGGGGGACAAAGUGACAGGUGGUGCAUGGUUGUCGUCAGCUCGUGUCGUGAGAUGUUGGGUUA
Molecule: ribosomal RNA, 1095 nt
Filed under: Staphylococcus aureus T12849
Lineage: Bacteria; Bacillati; Bacillota; Bacilli; Caryophanales; Staphylococcaceae
Description: bacterial SSU rRNA
Rfam family: Bacterial small subunit ribosomal RNA
Source: RNAcentral